AGCUUUGCACAGUGGCAGUAUUGUAGUUAUCCAAGGUGGGAUUAUUGCUAAUUGAAAGCUUUUCCCAAUACCCCGCCAUGACGACUUGCAAUAUAGUUGGCAUUGAAUUGGCAAUUUUUUACAGUCUCUGUGGAGA
Molecule: small nuclear RNA, 136 nt
Organism: Callithrix jacchus (white-tufted-ear marmoset)
Lineage: Eukaryota; Metazoa; Chordata; Mammalia; Primates; Cebidae
Gene: U4
Rfam family: U4 spliceosomal RNA
About the family: U4 small nuclear RNA (U4 snRNA) is a component of the major U2-dependent spliceosome.
Source: Ensembl